This 315-nucleotide long non-coding RNA is filed under the name Elaeis guineensis (African oil palm). RNAcentral's name for it is "long non-coding RNA (EGUI_LNC067927)". The record is from RNAcentral. Lineage: Eukaryota; Viridiplantae; Streptophyta; Magnoliopsida; Arecales; Arecaceae.
GCAUGGAUAAUUGAAUAAUGAUAUUUAUGUUGUAUGACGGCCUAGUAUAAUGUACACGUCAAAUAAACAUCCUAAGAUAGAUAAUAUCAUAAAUAUCUACCUUUGAUAUUAUAGACUAGAUCAUAUUAACAAGAAUAGGAUGAACAUGUUAGCUCAAGAGAAAAUCUUUAAAGACAAUAAUUAUGAACCAUUGCCUACCUACAAGUCUUAUCUACCUAGGAAGAUGACCAUGUCACCUUUCACUAGAAAAGGUGAAUGAGCCAGUGAUGUUCUGGGUCUUAUAUAUAUUGAUAUAUGUGAACCCAUGAGCACUAG